This 196-nucleotide small RNA is filed under the name Streptomyces sp. Its description in RNAcentral is "c-di-AMP sequence". It matches the Rfam family "c-di-AMP riboswitch aptamer (ydaO/yuaA leader)". Rfam says of the family: This family represents a conserved RNA structure found upstream of the ydaO and yuaA genes in Bacillus subtilis and related genes in other bacteria. The ydaO/yuaA element is thought to act as a genetic "off" switch for the ydaO and yuaA genes in its native state. It is believed that the element may be triggered during osmotic shock leading to activation of ydaO, a predicted amino acid transporter gene, and members of the yuaA-yubG operon which code for KtrA and KtrB K+ transporters. Lineage: Bacteria; Bacillati; Actinomycetota; Actinomycetes; Kitasatosporales; Streptomycetaceae. The record is from RNAcentral.
CCCGUACACCCACCGAGAACACCACGGCAGGAGCGGGGGAACCAGGUAAGUCGCCGCACCGGUCAGCCGGGCCGUGCCUUUGGGCAUGCUCCGGACAGUCCGGUACGGCUUGGGGUGAAGUCGUGUCCGUGAGGGCACGGCCGGGCAGCUCCCGCCCGAACCCGACAGCUCACCUCGCAGGCGACGGAGAGGAACU